CGCCGGAAGACCAAGGGUUCCUGUCCAACGUUAAUCGGGGCAGGGUGAGUCGACCCCUAAGGCGAGGCUGAAAAGCGUAGUCGAUGGGCAACGGGUUAAUAUUCCCGUACUGGUGGUAACUGCGAAGGGGGGACGGAGAAAGCUAAAUCAUCCGGGCGACGGUUGUCCCGGUUUAAGCGUGCAGGUGGACUGACCAGGCAAAUCCGGUCGGUUGUUAACACUGAGGCGUGACGACGAGCCACUACGGUGGUGAAGUGAUUGAUGCUCUGCUUCCGGGAAAAGCCUCUAAGCUCCAGGUUACCAUUAAUCGUACCCCAAACCGACACAGGUGGUCAGGUAGAGAAUACUCAGGCGCUUGAGAGAACUCGGGUGAAGGAACUAGGCAAAAUGGUGCCGUAACUUCGGGAGAAGGCACGCUGGCAUUAGGUGAAGUGGUUUACCCACGGAGCUGAAGCCAGCCGCAGAUACCAGCUGGCUGCAACUGUUUAUUAAAAACACAGCACUGUGCAAACACGAAAGUGGACGUAUACGGUGUGACGCCUGCCCGGUGCCGGAAGGUUAAUUGAUGAGGUCAGCCGCAAGGCGAAGCUUCUGAUCGAAGCCCCGGUAAACGGCGGCCGUAACUAUAACGGUCCUAAGGUAGCGAAAUUCCUUGUCGGGUAAGUUCCGACCUGCACGAAUGGCGUAAUGAUGGCCAGGCUGUCUCCACCCGAGACUCAGUGAAAUUGAACUCGCUGUGAAGAUGCAGUGUACCCGCGGCAAGACGGAAAGACCCCGUGAACCUUUACUAUAGCUUGACACUGAACAUUGAGCCUUGAUGUGUAGGAUAGGUGGGAGGCAACGAAGUGUGGACGCCAGUCUGCACGGAGCCAUCCUUGAAAUACCACCCUUUAACGUUUGAUGUUCUAACCCGGGUCCAUAAUCUGGAUCGGGGACCGUGUCUGGUGGGUAGUUUGACUGGGGCGGUCUCCUCCCAAAGAGUAACGGAGGAGCACGAAGGUUGGCUAAGCAUGGUCGGACAUCAUGCGGUUAGUGCAAAGGCAUAAGCCAGCUUGACUGCGAGAGUGACGGCUCGAGCAGGUACGAAAGUAGGUCUUAGUGAUCCGGUGGUUCUGAAUGGAAGGGCCAUCGCUCAACGGAUAAAAGGUACUCCGGGGAUAACAGGCUGAUACCGCCCAAGAGUUCAUAUCGACGGCGGUGUUUGGCACCUCGAUGUCGGCUCAUCACAUCCUGGGGCUGAAGUAGGUCCCAAGGGUAUGGCUGUUCGCCAUUUAAAGUGGUACGCGAGCUGGGUUUAGAACGUCGUGAGACAGUUCGGUCCCUAUCUGCCGUGGGCGCUGGAAGAUUGAGAGGGGUUGCUCCUAGUACGAGAGGACCGGAGUGAACGCACCACUGGUGUACGGGUUGUGAUGCCAAUUGCAUUGCCCGGUAGCUAAGUGCGGAAGAGAUAACCGCUGAAAGCAUCUAAGCGGGAAACUUGCCUCGAGAUGAGUCUUCCCUGACCCUUUAAGGGUCCUGAAGGAACGUUUGAGACUAAGACGUUGAUAGGCUGGGUGUGUAAGCGCAGCGAUGCGUUGAGCUGACCAGUACUAAUGAACC
Ribosomal RNA from Morganella morganii subsp. morganii KT, 1599 nucleotides. It matches the Rfam family "Archaeal large subunit ribosomal RNA", at positions 1423 to 2973 of the family's 2987-position model. The record is from Rfam. Lineage: Bacteria; Pseudomonadati; Pseudomonadota; Gammaproteobacteria; Enterobacterales; Morganellaceae.